Non-coding RNA from Phalacrocorax carbo (great cormorant), 1207 nucleotides. The record is from RefSeq and is a predicted model, not a curated record. Lineage: Eukaryota; Metazoa; Chordata; Aves; Suliformes; Phalacrocoracidae.
CUCCGGGGCCGGUCCCGAGGCAGGAGCCGCUCCCGGAGCUGCCCCCGGGCCGCCCCCGCCGGGCCGCGCCGCAGCGAUCGCCGCCGCCGCCGGCCGCCAGCCCCGCACCGCCAUCGGGCCCCGCGGCGGCGGCGGCACCGCCCCGAGGCGGGGGCACGGCGGGGCCGGGGCGGCGGGGUGCGGGGUGCCAGCCGGGGGGGGGGCCGCGGCCGGUGCCCUCCCGGGCACACGGUCCCGACGGGGCUCCUCGGGCCUCCCCCUGGGGCCGGAGGAGGGUUUUCCAGCCGCGGGGCUGCUCAGCGUGCGGGGAGGGGAGCCGUGGCGCGCCUCCGCGCCGGGUUGUGCAAAGCCAGCGGUGACGAUCUUAGACAUUAUUGCUUUUCAUAAUUCGCACCAUUAAUAGCCUCGGAGAAGUGAAAAACAGCGAUGACAAAGGCUGUGGCCGCAGAUUCCUGUUUCCAGGCCAAGAGCCGGUAGUUUGGUGUAACCCACCCCUGACGUAACCCUCCUUCCCCGGGUAGAGCCCCCGGCAGCCGGGAGUUUCCGAGCUGGCAGCGAGCUCUAUAAGAGCAGGGCCCGGCCGCGGAGCAGGGCAGGAGCCCCGGAGCCUGCCCGAAGCCCCUGGGCGCUGAGGCCACGCUGCCAGCCAUGAGCGUUCGCCCUUCGCCUCAUCAGUGUGUCUACCCAUGCAAGCCAAGGCUGACUUUAUUUCUUACCAGCAAAUUCCCAAUUACGAAAGCAGGCACGAACUGUGGGUGUGUUGUCCACUUGGUCUGCUUCCAUGGGUAGAGCCCACAGUCCAGCUGGGAGAUCAAGGAUCGAGACCUUGCUGACGCGUCACAUCUCUCCCCGUCGCACCGUUUCCCCCCCACCCGUCGGAGGAAGCCCCAGCGCGGAGGUGGAGGCCCAGCCGCGAGCCCUGCUCGGGGAGGAUGAAGGAAGAAGGUGGUCGGGAGGUCGGUGAGAGUCAGCAGCGACGUUAUCUGCUUCCCAGCUGGGGUGGGACACUUCUGCCGGGAAGGAAGAGGAGCUCUGCUCUUCCACUUCUCGGAGUAGUGUUUCAUGGUUGGGAGUUACCAAAUAACUCCUGUAAAACACUGUCCCGGGCGUGCUCUGUUUCGUGCUGCCGACAGGACAGGAAUGUUGGUAUUUAUGCAAAAUCCUUUGUGUCUUGUCCAAAACGACAAAAUAAACAAAGUCUAAUCUA